Molecule: ribosomal RNA, 490 nt
Filed under: uncultured bacterium
Lineage: Bacteria
Description: partial 16S ribosomal RNA
Rfam family: Bacterial small subunit ribosomal RNA
Source: RNAcentral
AUUGAACGCUGGCGGCAUGCCUUACACAUGCAAGUCGAACGGCAGCAUGAUCUAGCUUGCUCGAUUGAUGGCGAGUGGCGAACGGGUGAGUAAUACAUCGGAACGUGCCCUGUAGGGGGGGAUAACUAGACGAAAGAUUAGCUAAUACCGCAUACGACCUGAGGGUGCAAGUGGGGGACCGCAAGGCCUCAUGCUAUAGGAGCGGCCGAUGUCUGAUUAGCUAGUUGGUGAGGUAAAGGCUCACCAAGGCGACGAUCAGUAGCUGGUCUGAGAGGACGAUCAGCCACACUGGGACUGAGACACGGCCCAGACUCCUACGGGAGGCAGCAGUGGGGAAUUUUGGACAAUGGGCGAAAGCCUGAUCCAGCAAUGCCGCGUGUGUGAAGAAGGCCUUCGGGUUGUAAAGCACUUUUGUCCGGAAAGAAAUGGCUCUGGUUAAUACCUGGGGUCGAUGACGGUACCGGAAGAAUAAGGACCGGCUAACUACGUG